This is a long non-coding RNA of Lolium rigidum, 3661 nucleotides long. RefSeq lists it as uncharacterized. The transcript is spliced from 10 exons. NCBI's taxonomy places the organism in Eukaryota, Viridiplantae, Streptophyta, Magnoliopsida, Poales, Poaceae. The record is from RefSeq and is a predicted model, not a curated record.
CCCAGCGCCAACUCGUCUUCGUCUACGUCUCCGGCGUUGAGAGAUGGCUCAACAACGUGGAAGGAUCUCGCAAGUCGACCUCCGCCUCCUGCAGCCCCACUAGCGGCGGCACGAGCUCCACAACCUCCAUCCCUCGUGGUCCCCUACAUCCUUACGGAGGAUGCUAGGCAGUAGCACGGUGGCCUGCCCUCCUCCAUCUCUUCUUCCAGAUGCAUCGAGUAUAAGCACGCCGGCGCCCUCUCCCGGCCAUGUCUGUGAAAUCUGAUGGAGUUGGAUAUCCCUUGUGCCACGAGGAUGGAGCCAAACAGACCAUGUGGUCAAUCCUUGAUAUGUGAAUUUGGUUGGUGCGGUCAUGGCCUGUUCUUUCUCUGGCCGUAGCAACAUGAAGGCUGAUGUACCCGAUCCUCCUGGAGAUGGUAUAGAGAGGCUGGAUGGGUCCACUCUCUUAUGGACGGAGUCUGGUUCCGGCAAUGAGUUUGCGCUCUGCUUUCUCGACGAUGUCGCCAUCUCCCCGGUCACGGCGGCGCUCUCGACGCUGUUGCAGGCUCGCACAGCUUCGCGUGCUAGUGGUGUAAGGGGCGGCCGUCGCCUCUACUAGGCUGCACGCCAUGAACUGGGGGAUAUAUCAUGUUUCAGUAAUGGAGUUAAAAACAUACAAUCGAGCUCUCCAUAGAGCUCGAUGGAGCCGACCCUCCCCUUCCUCUGCCUCGACAGCUGGUACCAACACCAACCUCGGACACCUGCGAGCGGCAAGUGCCACCGUGCACUCGGUAGUUGGCUAAUUCAAGGUUGCCGCCGUCAGUCCCCUGCUCGACCUUGCUGCGACCGAGGCAUACAAUAUCACAUUGAUCCACACAAGAAGAAAAUGGCAUAUUUUAGCAUUCUAGCUUCCUCGCUGGGGAGCUACAUCUCCUGCUGGUAGGUUAGUUGCUGAAGAUGGGGUUCUUAAUGUACUUUAAUUAUAUCUUCACUGGCUAAUUUUAGUUUGCAGGGUAUGGUCAGCAAGAAUUUGUUAUUAAUUUAACAUGAUUAAAGUGCCAGCAACUUGGUGCACAACCUACUCCUAUAAUCUUAACGUCUAAUCGACCAAGCUGCCCAUUCUUGAGUUAUGAUGACAGAGAACAAAUUUGGAUCUGAUUUUUCAAAUUUAAUCCUCAGAUCUUCCUAUAUUUGUUCGUGCGGUUUUGUGUGUGGAAGAAGGACAUGCAUGUUCGAGCUUGGCGCAGACGCACAUCAUUUCGAUCUGUGAAUUUUGCACAUGAGGUACCGAUGGAAACAACUACUUUGAAGGAAUCUGAUGCUUCAGUUCACCAUUUGGGAGAUCUAAGAGGCAUUCUCUCUCUGCAAGAAAAUUUGCAAUCUGAUACAAAUAUCUUCUCAUUUACUGCAUGGAAAAUCAGAUAAAAAAAGGAAGCAUCUUAGAUUGACAUCCACGAAGUUCAGCAGGUACGUAUAUAUUUUUAUAUAUUUGGUUUGAUGCUCCAUUGUAUCCCAUAUAUAGUUGAACUUCAGAGAAGGUCAGGUAAUCGAAUGGACUCCAAAAUCGUUGAGACCUCCGAAAUGACUUAUCUGGGUGGUGAUCCACUUCCUCAGCAUGGAGGACCUUCUGUCCACUAGAGGACUUAGCCGCAAAGCAUAUGCUACUUCCUUCGCAUAACUCCAGAGUGGUGUGAAAUUAUAUUUCUGUCAAGGCACUAUGCACCUAAUACAAUGAAGAUGUAUUCAAGAAACUUCCCAAAACACAUGAAGUGAACUUUCUGACGAUAUAAGAACCUGAUGAGCUGCUAUUAAGAUCAAACCAACAAAGGAAUGUAAUCAUUGGAUUUUCACCAUGGAACUCAUUUUGUACAUUGCUUUGAAACGGAAUUUGCCAAAAUUCCAUUCAACUUCCAUCAUUCUUUAUUUGCAGAGCACCAAAACGAGGCCUAAUUAGUAAAUGUGAUAUACAUUGAGACCAUAAUAAUAAAAUGCAGCUCAAAUCAAUACCAGCCUUGAAUAUGAAGUAAUCCACUAUCUUUUUUCCAUUACCAUGGUAGCUCAUUAAUUUCAGAUUUAGUUGCAUAUUAUUUUAUUUAUGAACUAUGUAUGCAUUGCUGCAUAAGAUGGAAAUUAAGGUUAAACAUUAGCUGACAUUCUAUUUGUUACACUCUUUUGAACUGAAAAAAGUUACUUGUUUGCCAGCCACUGGAAAAUUUCAGGUGCCUGACAAGGAAACUAUGUAGAGGUAGGCAGCCCAAGUAAUUAGUCAUUUGGAUUUACUUAAGUUUCUGAAUUUCAUCAGGUUUGUCCUCUGCUCCAUAUCUCUACAAAUACUUUUCUCAACCUUUACCAACAUCAGUAUAUCUUAUGGGCAUAGGAAAGUGAUAUGUCGACCACAAGCUUGGGGCAAAUAGGCUGGCUAUAGAUUAAAAAUGAACUUGAGUAAAAGAAAUAUAAAAUGAAAAAAGGUUGCCCAACUCAAUAUAACCAGUUAUAAUAUUAUGGGUUCUGCAUUCACAUAACAUGAGUGUGAAUGUGUUCCCUGUCUAUGCAGAUUAGUUUUUUGCUAGAGUUUGUAGAUCAGUAGCAAAUAAUAUAUUUGGGUGGACUAAAGAAAACAAGUUUAUUUUAGUAUCAAUUGCUACAUGCUCUAUAUAUUUGUGGGAAAGCUUCACAACUAGCUAGAGACAAGAGGCAUUACUAAACAACGCACCUUCUGGUUUUUUUUUUCAACUGCGUCAACUCAUUAGUUUUUUAUAAUAAUCAAACUUAUAUUGGUUAAGAAUACUCAUAAUAUACUUAUUUUUAUAAAAUUCAAAUUAAAUAGUUUAGCAUUAGUAUGACUUUGCAAAACUCAAGCCACCCCUCGACAUUGUCAGAUGAGAAAUAUAUCCCAUAUUAUCUCAGAAAUUAAAAAAAGGUACCUAUAAAGUGAUAUUUGUUCACUGGGGGAAAUGGAGAAAGCUAUAUGAUAUUUAGUACAUUUUGGAAUAUUUACAAUACUUAUGUACUUUAGUUGUAUAGAGUUUUAUAUUUCUUAAUAGAAACCAACGAAUCGGUUAAUACAAUAAUUAAGCACUCAAAAGCAUAUUUAUAAAUGGUCGUCCGACUCCGUGGUAGCUGGUAAGCUCCCCAGGGUCUUGCCAGGUCAAGAAUUGAUUACUUAUGAAACUCAUCAUGUUACAUAUUCUCCUCAGCUAGCUGGGGCCACAUAAUUAGAACGUUCUGAUGGUUCGAUAUUCGUUACUAAUACACAAAGUUGUAGGCUUUGGUGAAUCUGUUGGGUUCCUGCAGGUCCAAGGUCAAGAAAUUGCGCAGACAGUUCCACUGUUCCAAGAAAUGACGUCUGAUGCAUCUCUGUAAAAGAGGGAUAUUGGUUGUACAAUAAAAACCCGAUAGAUGGUCCUGCUCUGGUGUUUUAGGUUGCUGCAGCAGGGCAAAGCUCAGGAUGUCUCCAAAGGAAAGUUGUGGCUUGCAUACCUCUGUUUUUAGAAGUGAGCCAGACCCAUCAUUUUUUACUAAGUUGAGUGUAUCUAUUUGUUCCAUCGCUACGCACAAUGCAUAUGAGAUAUUAAUAGUUUUAGAAACACAUCCACAAACACAUUGCUACAUGUCUAUCUGUAACAUAACAGUAUACCAUUUUCAUUUACAUUUCGUUUUCUAACUACCAUUUAAGAAUUGA